AAACUUUUGAAAAGCAGGUGACUUGAUGCUGCUCUCUAAUUGGCUUGCUUCAGAUUGUCCUUGGGGCACAGCUCAUUGCACCCCAGACACUCCCACUUUUGUUGUUAGUGAAUCAAUAUUGUUUUUAUAUUUUUUUUACCUCAUGUGAUUGGACCAUACUCAACGACUCUCUUUCACCCUCAACAGCGUGUCAGUUGACCGGCACUGCAAGAGAUUGUUAAUAAUCUAGAAGGCACAACAUUUCUUCCAGAUGAAAGACAAUUUGGUUUUGUCUUUAUAAAUGAAGAAAAAAAAGGAUAAUGGAGCUUGGACCAGAUCAAUCCAACUUACAAAUUCAGCAGCAGUCAGGUGAUCAUGGACAAGUUUACACCCGGGGUUUCUCCAGUUGGCGUUGGCUAGAUGUACGCAAAUUCACUGCUCACGCUGCCUGCCUGCUCACUCUCGGCUCACUUCCUGCUAUGCCCAGCCCCACCUUCCUCCUGGUUCACCGACUCUGCACUCGGCUCUCAAACCACUGACCCAAGUUUAAGCCUACUCAUGCGCAGUCUCCCACUCCCUUCAACUGAGGAUCCAACCCUCAUGCUUUGGACCCAUGUUCGAAUCCCGACCUCCACCACCCUAUUUCAACUCACCUGUCUCACACACCCUCACUCCCUCUUAAUAAAAGCCGGUUUAUCCUGAA
This is a long non-coding RNA of Ictalurus furcatus (blue catfish), 682 nucleotides long. RefSeq lists it as uncharacterized. The transcript has 2 exons. NCBI's taxonomy places the organism in Eukaryota, Metazoa, Chordata, Actinopteri, Siluriformes, Ictaluridae. The record is from RefSeq and is a predicted model, not a curated record.